GACGAACGCUGGCGGCGUGCCUAAUACAUGCAAGUAGAACGCACAGUUUAUACCGUAGCUUGCUACACCAUAGACUGUGAGUUGCGAACGGGUGAGUAACGCGUAGGUAACCUGCCUGGUAGCGGGGGAUAACUAUUGGAAACGAUAGCUAAUACCGCAUAAUAUUGAUUAUUGCAUGAUAAUUAAUUGAAAGGUGCAAUUGCACCACUACCAGAUGGACCUGCGUUGUAUUAGCUAGUAGGUGAGGUAACGGCUCACCUAGGCGACGAUACAUAGCCGACCUGAGAGGGUGAUCGGCCACACUGGGACUGAGACACGGCCCAGACUCCUACGGGAGGCAGCAGUAGGGAAUCUUCGGCAAUGGACGAAAGUCUGACCGAGCAACGCCGCGGGAGUGAAGAAGGGUUUCGGAUCGUAAAGCUCUGUUGUAAGAGAAGAACGGGUGUGAGAGUGGAAAGUUCACACUGUGACGGUAGCUUACCAGAAAGGGACGGCUAACUACGUG
This 505-nucleotide ribosomal RNA is filed under the name uncultured bacterium. RNAcentral describes it as "partial 16S ribosomal RNA". It matches the Rfam family "Bacterial small subunit ribosomal RNA", at positions 28 to 507 of the family's 1533-position model. The record is from RNAcentral.